Molecule: ribosomal RNA, 216 nt
Filed under: Glomeromycotina sp.
Lineage: Eukaryota; Fungi; Glomeromycota
Description: partial small subunit ribosomal RNA
Rfam family: Eukaryotic small subunit ribosomal RNA (bases 92-216)
Source: RNAcentral
GACCUGGUGCGGUGGUCCGCCUUCACGGUGUGUACUGCUGGACCGGGUUCUACCUCUUGGUGAGCCGGCAUGCCCUUCACUGGGUGUGUCGGGGAACCAGGACUUUUACCUUGAGAAAAUUAGAGUGUUCAAAGCAGGCCUACGCCCGAAUACAUUAGCAUGGCAUAAUAAAAUAGGACGUGCGGUUCUAUUUUGUUGGUUUCUAGAGUCGCCCUA